Molecule: ribosomal RNA, 465 nt
Filed under: uncultured bacterium
Lineage: Bacteria
Description: bacterial SSU rRNA
Rfam family: Bacterial small subunit ribosomal RNA
Source: RNAcentral
UCCAGACUCCUACGGGAGGCAGCAGUGAGGAAUAUUGGUCAAUGGGCGAGAGCCUGAACCAGCCAAGUCGCGUGAGGGAAGACGGUCCUACGGAUUGUAAACCUCUUUUGCCGGGGAGCAACGGGGUCCUUGCGAGGGCCCGAUGAGAGUACCCGGAGAAAAAGCAUCGGCUAACUCCGUGCCAGCAGCCGCGGUAAUACGGAGGAUGCGAGCGUUAUCCGGAUUUAUUGGGUUUAAAGGGUGCGUAGGCGGGCUGUUAAGUCAGCGGUAAAAUGUCGGGGCUCAACCCCGGCCUGCCGUUGAAACUGCAUCCCUUGAGUGCGCGAGAAGUAUGCGGAAUGCGUGGUGUAGCGGUGAAAUGCAUAGAUAUCACGCAGAACUCCGAUUGCGAAGGCAGCAUACCGGCGCGCAACUGACGCUCAUGCACGAAAGCGUGGGUAUCGAACAGGAUUAGAUACCCGGGUA